Agrobacterium sp. DSM 25559 is the source of this 47-nucleotide non-coding RNA. NCBI's taxonomy places the organism in Bacteria, Pseudomonadati, Pseudomonadota, Alphaproteobacteria, Hyphomicrobiales, Rhizobiaceae. The record is from Rfam.
AAAUCGGCUGUUAUUACAGCCACCUCAAAGUGGCAAAACAGUUUCUU